UAGGGAAUCUUCGGCAAUGGACGGAAGUCUGACCGAGCAACGCCGCGUGAGUGAAGAAGGUUUUCGGAUCGUAAAGCUCUGUUGUUAGAGAAGAACGUUGGUAGGAGUGGAAAAUCUACCAAGUGACGGUAACUAACCAGAAAGGGACGGCUAACUACGUGCCAGCAGCCGCGGUAAUACGUAGGUCCCGAGCGUUGUCCGGAUUUUUUGGGCGUAAAGCGAGCGCAGGCGGUUCUGUAAGUCUGAAGUUAAAGGCAGUGGCUUAACCAUUGUACGCUUUGGAAACGGGAGGACUUGAGUGCAGAAGGGGAGAGGGGAAUUCCAUGUGUAGCGGUGAAAUGCGUAGAUAUAUGGAGGAACACCGGUGGAGAAAGCGGCUCUCUGGUCUGUAACUGACGCUGAGGCAAGAAAGCGUGGGGAGCAAACAGG
RNAcentral lists this ribosomal RNA (429 nucleotides) under Bacillota bacterium. Its description in RNAcentral is "Firmicutes bacterium partial 16S ribosomal RNA". It matches the Rfam family "Bacterial small subunit ribosomal RNA", at positions 355 to 776 of the family's 1533-position model. The record is from RNAcentral. Lineage: Bacteria; Bacillati; Bacillota.